GUCCAGCUUGCUGGGCAUGAAAGUGGCGCACGGGUGCSUAACGCGUAUGCAACCUACCUUUAUCAGGGGGAUAGCCCGGAGAAAUCCGGAUUAAUACCGCAUAAAAUCACAGCACUGCAUAGUGCAAUGAUCAAACAUUUAUGGGAUAAAGAUGGGCAUGCGUGUCAUUAGCUAGUUGGCGGGGUAACGGCCCACCAAGGCGACGAUGACUAGGGGAUCUGAGAGGAUGGCCCCCCACACUGGUACUGAGACACGGACCAGACUCCUACGGGAGGCAGCAGUAAGGAAUAUUGGUCAAUGGAGGCAACUCUGAACCAGCCAUGCCGCGUGCAGGAAGACUGCCCUAUGGGUUGUAAACUGCUUUUAUCCGGGAAUAAACCUUUCUACGUGUAGGAAGCUGAAUGUACCGGAAGAAUAAGGAUCGGCUAACUCCGUGCCAGCAGCCGCGGUAAUACGGAGGAUCCAAGCGUUAUCCGGAUUUAUUGGGUUUAAAGGGUGCGUAGGCGGCCUGUUAAGUCAGGGGUGAAAGACGGUAGCUCAACUAUCGCAGUGCCCUUGAUACUGAUGGGCUUGAAUGGACUAGAGGUAGGCGGAAUGAGACAAGUAGCGGUGAAAUGCAUAGAUAUGUCUCAGAACACCGAUUGCGAAGGCAGCUUACUAUGGUCUUAUUGACGCUGAGGCACGAAAGCGUGGGGAUCAAACAGGAUUAGAUACCCUGGUAGUCCACGCCCUAAACGAUGAACACUCGCUGUUGGCGAUACACAGUCAG
This 769-nucleotide ribosomal RNA is filed under the name Pedobacter humicola. Its description in RNAcentral is "bacterial SSU rRNA". It matches the Rfam family "Bacterial small subunit ribosomal RNA", at positions 73 to 843 of the family's 1533-position model. The record is from RNAcentral. Lineage: Bacteria; Pseudomonadati; Bacteroidota; Sphingobacteriia; Sphingobacteriales; Sphingobacteriaceae.